AACGAACGCUGGCGGCAUGCCUAACACAUGCAAGUCGAACGAGACCUUCGGGUCUAGCGGCGCACGGGUGCGUAACGCGUGGGAACCUGCCCUUAGGUUCGGAAUAACUCCCCGAAAGGGGGGCUAAUACCGGAUAAUGUCUUCGGACCAAAGAUUUAUCGCCUUUGGAUGGGCCCGCGUUGGAUUAGCUAGUUGGUAGGGUAAAAGCCUACCAAGGCGACGAUCCAUAGCUGGUCUGAGAGGAUGAUCAGCCACACUGGGACUGAGACACGGCCCAGACUCCUACGGGAGGCAGCAGUGGGGAAUAUUAGACAAUGGGGGAAAGCCUGAUCCAGCCAUGCCGCGUGAGUGAUGAAGGCCUUAGGGUUGUAAAGCUCUUUUACCCGGGAUGAUAAUGACAGUACCGGGAGAAGAAGCUCCGGCUAACUCCGUG
This 433-nucleotide ribosomal RNA is filed under the name uncultured bacterium. Its description in RNAcentral is "partial 16S ribosomal RNA". It matches the Rfam family "Bacterial small subunit ribosomal RNA", at positions 29 to 507 of the family's 1533-position model. The record is from RNAcentral.